GCCCUCUUAGCUCAGUUGGUCAGAGCACCCGCCUCUAAGCGGGAGGUUCGCGGGUUCGAUUCCCGCAGUGGGCUC
Molecule: transfer RNA, 75 nt
Filed under: Mycobacteroides abscessus subsp. abscessus
Lineage: Bacteria; Bacillati; Actinomycetota; Actinomycetes; Mycobacteriales; Mycobacteriaceae
Description: tRNA-???(ct)
Rfam family: tRNA
About the family: Transfer RNA (tRNA) molecules are approximately 80 nucleotides in length.
Source: RNAcentral